CGAUACGGGCAAACUCAUCGAAAGGUGGGGACGCAAAGCCAUGGGUCUGUGGUUCUGACUGAACUAUGAUCGCCAGGUUGCCGAA
Molecule: non-coding RNA, 85 nt
Filed under: Brevibacillus massiliensis
Lineage: Bacteria; Bacillati; Bacillota; Bacilli; Caryophanales; Paenibacillaceae
Description: Cyclic di-GMP-I riboswitch
Rfam family: c-di-GMP-I riboswitch aptamer
About the family: GEMM was predicted in a large-scale screen for bacterial structured RNA regulatory elements.
Source: RNAcentral